RNAcentral lists this ribosomal RNA (521 nucleotides) under Bacillus subtilis. RNAcentral's name for it is "bacterial SSU rRNA". It matches the Rfam family "Bacterial small subunit ribosomal RNA", at positions 925 to 1441 of the family's 1533-position model. Lineage: Bacteria; Bacillati; Bacillota; Bacilli; Caryophanales; Bacillaceae. The record is from RNAcentral.
ACGAGCGCAGGAUCCCCUUGUUUUUUUGGGAAAACGCCGCGAAGAUCCUUACCAGGUCGGGACAUCCUCAGGACAUUCCCAGAGAUAUUUUGUCCCCUUGGGGGGAAGAGUCACAGGUGGUGCAUGGUUGUUGUCAGCUCGUAUCGAGAGAUGUUGGUUUAAUUCCCGCACUCGAGCGCACCCCGUGAUGUUAUUCGCCAGCAUUCAGUUGGGCACUAUAAGGUGACGGCCGGUGACAAACGGGGGGAAGGGGGGGAUGACGUCAAAUCAUCAUGCCCUUUAUGACUUGGGGUACACACGUGAUACAAGGGACGAGAACAAAGGGCAGCGAAACCGCGAGGUUAAGCCAAUCCCACAAAUCUGUUCUCAGUUCGGAUCCCCGUUUGCAAUUGGACUGCGUGAAGCGGGAAUCGUUCGUAAUCGGGGAUCAGCAUGCCGCGGUGAAUACGAUCCCGGGCCUGGUACACACCGCCCGUCACACCUUUUAGAGUUUGUAACGGGAAUAAGUCGUUUUCUUUCCA